AGCAGCCGCGGUAAUUCCAGCUCCAAUAGCGUAUAUUAAAGUUGUUGCAGUUAAAAAGCUCGUAGUUGAAUUUCGGGGUUAGUAGGUUGGUCAUGCCUCUGGUAUGUACUGGUCUCACUGAUUCCUCCUUCCUGAUGAGCCGUAAUGCCAUUAAUUUGGUGUUGCGGGGAAUUUGGACUGUUACUUUGAAAAAAUUAGAGUGUUUAAAGCAAGCUAACGCUUGAAUACAUUAGCAUGGAAUAAUGAAAUAGGACGUUCGAUCCUAUUUUGUUGGUUUCUAGGAUUGACGUAAUGAUUAAUAGGGAUAGUUGGGGGCAUUAGUAUUCAAUUGUCAGAGGUGAAAUUCUUGGAUUUAUUGAAGACUAACUACUGCGAAAGCAUUUGCCAAGGAUGUUUUCAUUAAUCAAGAACGAAAGUUAGGGAUCGAAGACGAUCAGAUACCGUCGUAGU
This 450-nucleotide ribosomal RNA is filed under the name uncultured Glomeromycotina. RNAcentral's name for it is "SSU rRNA". It matches the Rfam family "Eukaryotic small subunit ribosomal RNA", at positions 569 to 1024 of the family's 1831-position model. Lineage: Eukaryota; Fungi; Glomeromycota. The record is from RNAcentral.